UACGUAGGGGGCAAGCGUUGUCCGGAUUUAUUGGGCGUAAAGGGCGCGUAGGCGGAUAGUUCAGUUGGGGGUGAAAGCCCGGGGCUCAACCUCGGAACUGCCUUCAAUACUGGCUAUCUUGAGUACGGGAGAGGUGUGUGGAACUCCGAGUGUAGAGGUGAAAUUCGUAGAUAUUCGGAAGAACACCAGUGGCGAAGGCGACACACUGGCCCGUUACUGACGCUGAGGCGCGAAAGCGUGGGGAGCAAACAGG
Molecule: ribosomal RNA, 253 nt
Filed under: uncultured bacterium
Lineage: Bacteria
Description: partial 16S ribosomal RNA
Rfam family: Bacterial small subunit ribosomal RNA
Source: RNAcentral